AUGAAGAUCACACUCUCCUUAUUACUGCUACUGCUCACCUUCAGCAGUGUGAAAUGCCAAAAUAUGGAAUCCUUAGAAAGUGCAGUUCAGAUAAAACCUGGAGAGACUCUGAGUCUCUCCUGUAGAGGAUCUGGAUUUAAUUUUAGCAGCUACGGAAUGAACUGGAUCAGACAACAGACUGGAAAACCGCUGGAGUGGAUGGGAGCUAUUUCGGGUGAUGGAGGCACCAAGGUGUACGCAGCAUCGUUUCGAGGCCGAACUGACAUCACUAAAGAUAAUUCUAACAGCAUGGUGUAUCUGAAACUGUCCGGUGUGACAGCAGAGGAUUCAACUGUGUAUUACUGUGCUCGGUACCACAUUGAUACAGAAUAG
Molecule: non-coding RNA, 372 nt
Organism: Astyanax mexicanus (Mexican tetra)
Lineage: Eukaryota; Metazoa; Chordata; Actinopteri; Characiformes; Acestrorhamphidae
Source: the annotation of a RefSeq genome assembly